Molecule: ribosomal RNA, 206 nt
Filed under: uncultured bacterium
Lineage: Bacteria
Description: partial 16S ribosomal RNA
Rfam family: Bacterial small subunit ribosomal RNA
Source: RNAcentral
UCUCAUUCGGAUUGGAGUCUGCAACCCGACUCCAUGAAGCUGGAUUCGCUAGUAAUCGCGCAUCAGCCACGGCGCGGUGAAUACGUUCCCGGGCCUUGUACACACCGCCCGUCAAGCCAUGGAAGCCGGGAGUGCCUGAAGUGCGUGAGCGCAAGCAGCGCCCUAAGGUAAAACCGGUGACUGGGGCUAAGUCGUAACAAGGUAUC